AAACUUAAAUGAAUUGACGGGACCCCGCACAAGCAGCGGAGCGUGUGGUUUAAUUCGAUGAUACACGAAGAACCUUACCUGGGUUUGACAUGCAAGUGGUAGGGAAGCGAAAGCGGACCGACCCUUCGGGGAGCCUCUACAGGUGUUGCAUGGCUGUCGUCAGCUCGUGUCGUGAGAUGUUCGGUUAAGUCCGCUAACGAGCGCAACCCUCGCUGUGUGUUACAAGUGUCACACGGUACUGCCGGUAUUAAGUCGGAGGAAGGUGGGGAUGACGUCAAGUCAGCAUGACCUUUAUAUUCAGGGCUACACACACGCUACAAUGGUCAGUACAAUAGGUUGCCAAGCCGCGAGGCGGAGCCAAUCCUAAAAAGCUGGCCUCAGUUCAGAUUGCAGUCUGCAACUCGACUGCAUGAAGUUGGAGUUGCUAGUAACCGCAGGUCAGCUAUACUGCGGUGAAUACGUUCCCGGGGAUU
This 473-nucleotide ribosomal RNA is filed under the name uncultured Anaerolineaceae bacterium. Its description in RNAcentral is "bacterial SSU rRNA". It matches the Rfam family "Bacterial small subunit ribosomal RNA", at positions 897 to 1382 of the family's 1533-position model. The record is from RNAcentral. Lineage: Bacteria; Bacillati; Chloroflexota; Anaerolineae; Anaerolineales; Anaerolineaceae.